This 594-nucleotide small RNA is filed under the name Pan troglodytes (chimpanzee). Its description in RNAcentral is "retained intron". The record is from RNAcentral. Lineage: Eukaryota; Metazoa; Chordata; Mammalia; Primates; Hominidae.
CGCCAGGGAACGGGUCUUGUGGCUUUGUCUCCCGCGAAGAGAUGGCGGAGUCGUUGAGGUCUCCGCGCCGCUCCCUGUACAAACUGGUGGGCUCGCCGCCUUGGAAAGAGGCUUUCCGGCAGAGAUGCCUGGAGAGAAUGAGAAACAGCCGGGACAGGCUCCUAAACAGGUACCGCCAGGCUGGAAGCAGUGGGCCAGGGAAUUCUCAGAACAGCUUUCUAGUUCAAGAGGUGAUGGAAGAAGAGUGGAAUGCUUUGCAGUCAGUGGAGAAUUGUCCAGAAGACUUGGCUCAGUUGGAGGAGCUGAUAGACAUGGCUGUGCUGGAGGAAAUUCAACAGGAGCUGAUCAACCAAGGUAACCCCUAGUAGUAGUCCUUCCUUACCUGUAUUUAGCUACUGGAAUACUGUGACCUUUCCUCCAAUCAGGAUUAGUUUAUAAGUCCCCUUUGUCUACCUCCAUCAGUCAAGUGUCCAAAAGACUCCUUUUGUACUCUGACAUCUUGGCUGUCUAGCUUCUCAAUAAUAAGGGUCUCCAGGGUGCUAGGCUUUGUGCUAAGAACUUCUCAUUUAAUGAUGCUGUUUUCUCCAUGUGACU